UAUUAUUGUGAUGUAUUUUGGUUCUGUUUUUCUAUUUCUUUGGGUUUUAGUUCUGUUCUUCCCCAGUUUAGUGUUUAGUCUUUUCUGCCUGUAUAUUCCUGUGUCAAGUCCGCAUUUCUUAGUGUGUGUCUUUGCAUGUGUGAGUUCCUGUUUUAUUUUGUAGGUCUCUGUCUCUUGUCAGUGUUUCUAGUUUCACUCCCCUUGUCUCUCCCUUAUGUCCAAUUAUUCCCAGCCGUGCCUCCCUCCUGUUUCCCAUUCCCUGAUUACUCCCCUGUGUAUAUAAGCCCUGUAUUUGCCCUUGCUCUCUGUUGUGUCCUACCCUCAUGCUGUGUGGAUCUCCCUGUGUUUCCCCGUUUUCUGCUCCUUCCAUAAAAGUGAGAUUUCUGCCUCUGUGGACUCGAGCCCUACCAGCUACACCUCACUACUGGAAGACCAAAGGAAACAAACCAGCUGAAGGUCUUUACCUUGAUUGUAGCCAGAUGUUCUUUCACUGAUUCCUGGAUGUAUUGAUGACGUUCAACCGAUUUUUCCUUGUCAGCCGCUUUUUCUUCCUGCUGUGUGAACCAGUAAAACCCACCUUUUAUCUCACUU
Long non-coding RNA from Oreochromis niloticus (Nile tilapia), 591 nucleotides. RefSeq lists it as uncharacterized. Lineage: Eukaryota; Metazoa; Chordata; Actinopteri; Cichliformes; Cichlidae. The transcript has 3 exons. The record is from RefSeq and is a predicted model, not a curated record.